Long non-coding RNA from Equus caballus (horse), 3466 nucleotides. The record is from Ensembl. NCBI's taxonomy places the organism in Eukaryota, Metazoa, Chordata, Mammalia, Perissodactyla, Equidae.
AUUACGAAGUUUACUUUUUUAUUUUAAUUUCUAUAAAAGCUAUAACUUAAUUAUAAGGUUGUAUAAAAUCUUCAACAUUACCAUGGCUUACCUAAUGGUCUUUGGCAGUUUUAAAACAUGUCUGCCAACUUAUUUGACAUUUCUUCCAUCAGGAAGUGGGGUCUAUUUCUCCACCCCUUCGAAUCUGUGCCGAUUUUAGUGGCUAUUGACAAUAGUGUGCAGUGGAAGUGAUACCACUGCCUCUGGAGCUAGGUUCUAAAUGCCUAUUCAACUCUGCUUGUCUCUCCGGAUUACUUGUAAUGGAGACCUGAGUUUUCAUAUGAGCAGUCUGACUGCUCUGUAAGCACUGCAAAUGGAAUGACCACAUGGAACAACGUUGGAACUAUAAGAAGAGAUAGAGAUAACCAGCCUGGACCAGCCUCCACCUGCUACAGUCACCUGCUAUUCCAGCUCCAGCCACAUGAGACGACCUGAGCUGGAAUGGCUUAGCUAAGCCUGUUCUGAAUUCCUAAACUACAGAAAUUUUGAGAGAGAAAAACAAAAUGCUUUACAUUUAGAGGAAUAGCAAAUUUAGGAAGAAUGUCCCUUCCCCUCUGUAAUAACCAUGAUUCUCUAGAGAAAUAUAAGCAAUUCAGCAAGACAAAUACAACAAAAUUUUAAACGUCAAAUGCUUUUCUCUUCUUUGUAUUAAAAAAACACACCUAAGAAAGCAAAAUAUUCUGUUUGUGAUACCAGUUAAGUUGUAAAAUAUCUAUAAUAAGCUUCAUGAAAAUGUUACAUGAUACACAUUAAGCAAUGUAAAAUCUCUGAAUGACAUAAAAGUAGAUGUUCUUUUUUUUUUUUUCAGUGAGGAAGAUUGGCUCUACGCUAAUAUCUGUUGCCAAUCUUCCUCUUUUGUUUUUCUCUCCACAGCCCCCGUACAUAGCUGUAUAUCAUAGUUCUAAGUCCUUCUAGUUCUUCUACAUAGGAUGCCUCGACAGUAUGGCUUGGUGAGCAGUGUGUAGGUCUGUGCCCGGGAUCCGAACCCACGAACCCCAGGCAGCUGAAGCAAAACAUGUGAACUUAACCACUACACCACCAGGCUGGCCCCAAAGCAGAUGAUCUUGGAUGAGAAAACUUAAUAUAAAAAUUUCAGUAUUCCCAAAUUAAUGCAAAUAAUGCCAUUCAUUUAGAAGUCCAACAGGCUUUUGUUGUUGCUGUUGUAUUAUUGAGGAAAAUUAUUUGAAAGUAUAUAUAAAAUGAGAAAUGUCUAAGAGUAGCUGUAAUAUAUUGGAGGAGAAUUAUUCAGUUCAGGUCACUUCUAUGUUUCUCUGUUUUUUCAUCCUAGCUGGUCACUCAAUGCAUGUUCUUCUCUUGGAAAUGGCAGAAGGAAAAGAAGCAACCCCAGACAUGCACACACAUUGAAAUUCUCUUCUUUCUCCAUGUCUGCUAAUAUCCCAUUGAACCCAAAACAUAGCAUGAUCAAGACAAAAGUCUAGGGACAGACUUAAGGAUGAUAACCAACAGGAGCAUUGAGACUCGUAAGGGAAGUUUUGUAAUCAUAUCAGCACCUCCUUCCUUGGAGGUUAGGAGUGAGAAGAGGGAGUGAAAAUUUGCUGAACAAUAUUCUAUUCCACCAGAGCGGAAUAUUUUGGGAUCCUUAGACACGGACUUCAAUUUGGGAAGAUUAUAUUUCAAGUAUACUUAAAUUUACACUUCCCUUGGGAACCUAAAUGCUCCUGCUUUAUUCCUGGUUGUCAUCCUCAAGACUCUGCUUUUGAAAUAACCCCUCAUCAAUUGUUCUCAGUCCCAAUCUUUCCCUCCCUGCAGCCCGUCCUCUAUCGCAGUGCUUCUCAAACUUUAGAAUUAUGUACAAAUCAACAGAGAUCUUUCUAAAAUGUGGAUUCCAGUUCAGUAAUUCUGGGGAGGCCUGAGAUUCUCCAUUUUAUCAAACUCCCAGGAGAUGUUCGUGAUGCUAGUGUGCGGCCCAAUCCUUAAUUACCAGGACUUUAUCCUGUUGUCAGAAACACACACACACAUACACACACAAACGUGCAAAUCUUCAUCAGUUCUCUGCUUUGUUUUCUAUUGUGUUCAUAUUAAUUAGAGAAUAAAAUUCAGCUGCACACGUCUUCUUCCCUCCUUUUUAAAUGGAGCUUCUUGCAAUGCCAGUUGCAAGCUCUUUCCUUCAUUUUUAAUGAACAAACAUUGACUCACUGUCCCAGAGGGAGCUCACAUGUCAAUAAAUGCCACAGUGCUACCAGGUAGGGCUACUCUCCUAAUUUUUCAUUCUCUAUGUAACAGGUCUGUACCACCUUUGUUUGUACCACUGAUGAUCAUAAUAUCAAUUCCCUGAGGAAGAGCAGCUCUAUUUUAUUUACCUGCACCUGCAGAAUCUAGCAUAUGGGCCUGGCCCGCCAUAUUCAAUCAGAUAUAUUUAUAUAUCCCAAGUGAUGCUAUAUUUGUAUUUUAUUAUUAUUAUUAUUUCACAUGUAAUCAAGUGCCUAUAAGUGCCAAACACUGAGCAGAUCACUGGGGAUGCAAUGUGGAGCAAAGAUCACUUCAUCCUGGAAACUAACAGUCCAGUGGGAGAAAUACCAUAAACAAAUAAUCACACAAAUAAUUCUAUAAUUACAGAGUCUAAGAAAGACUACAAAGGAAAAAAGUAUAGGAUAGGGAUAUGGCAACGAGAAUUGAUUUAGUGGAGAAGCACCAGGUAAGCCUUCUCUGAAGAAGUAUCAGGAUUGAACCCUAAAGGGUAAGGAGGAGUUAGUGAAGAGAAAAACAGCAGGAGGAUUGGAGGCAUGUUCUAAACUGAGAAAACAGUAAGCGUUAAGAUUCUCAGACAGGAAAGGGUUUGGCGUAUUUCAUGAACUCAGCGGCAGCUGUGUGCGUUGAGCAUACAAAGGAGGGGGAGUAGGAUAACAAAUGAGGCCGAAAUGGUUGGGGAGACGGCACACAGCCGAACUGUGCAAACUUUUUCCUUCCAUCUCAAAGAGCAUAGAUUUUACUUCUUAUGUCUUGAAUGGGAAGCCAAAUGAAGAUUUUAUGCAGGGCAUUGACAUAAGUUUGAUAUGUCUUUAAACAUUGUUCUGCCAGUAACACGGGAUAUGAAACAGCAGGAAGCUUGUGGUAUAUCUAUUAGGAUUUCUAUUAAGUCUUUCUCAUCAUUUCGCAUGCGGUUCACACGUUAUUUGUAAGUUUCAGGCCCUCUUCGAUGACUGCCAUUGCGGUUUCAAAGUUCAAAGCAAAGAUACAUCAGCAUGAGGCAUACUCAUUCAGGACCAUAGAGGUGAGACCAGUGAGGCACAUUGAUAUUUAAUUUACUUUAAGUCACCCAAUAUUAAGUGGCAUGAUUGGGACUGGAAUCCAGGAUUGCCUGGGAAGUAAUACACAUCAGCUGGCACUCCAUUGGCACAUCAUUCUAGACACGACCACCACCUGUCUCUCUUGACAUAUGGACGGAAGGAAACAAAAAUUUGGUAAG